AAUCAUAUACGGUUAGCAAAUGCUGAUGUGGUGGGAAGAGUAUGGGAAGAGUAUAUAGAAAAGAGCGCCAAAUCCAUAUUUACUACUGGAAAGAUGAUAUUAUUCGCUGCACUUGUAAACAAACACACACAAGCAUGCCUGAAAAAUAGCCCUUUUACGCUAAAUAUUUCUUAUACCCAUUCCAUUUUUAAGAAAUAUGCCUAAUUUUUCAAUACAAAUACAGACAAAUGCUUGGCCGCACGGGCACAGGUACAGUCAUCUCCAGCAAUAUGCUUUGCUUGUGCUUUAAUGUACCAGUUUACACUAAACUCAAAGUGCCCAAUUUUUGCCAUUUUUGUGCAAAUAAAUCAUCUACAGAUAAAUUAUGUCAAAUAAUGCUUUUUAACUAGAAAAAUUUAGACAUCAACAAUAAGAAAAAUAAUCUAGUUGAUAAACAAAGCGCACUGAAGUUUUUAGCGAUCUAAUUAUGAUAAAGCUGAAUCUAUGUGGCAUUCAAAAGGUUGUUAAAAAUUAUUUUUGUUUUGGCUCGGAUACCUGAAUGUUGCCUUGCUUAAACAAUACGAUACAAGUAUUCUAUUUUUCUCAGAAGAAAUGGUUUACAAACCACAUGUGACAAAAAGCGUAUGUUCAAAUGCUUUUAAAAUAAGUAUUUCAACAGAAAAUUCACAUAUUUGCGAAAGAGAAACGUAUUACGAGCCUUAACAAAUAAACAAAAAUUAUAAACAUACAUAUAUUAAUUAUUAAUAUGUUGUAUUUUGUACAUGGUAACGUUAUACGAGCCUCAACAAUAUAUUAACUGAAUUAUUUAUAACUUACAUUUUUGUUCAACAAGUAGGACCAUGAAAUACAUACAUAUACCAAUCUUGCUUUUCCGUUCAUAACGUUAUGCAUAAAAGAGAAACAAAUAUAAACAUGCAUUUAAUUUUUCGACACAUAGUGUCUUUCAACCAUGAAAGAAGGCCAGAAAGUUGUUUCCUAAGAAAAUUCAUGUAACAUCAUAAAAAUUGUGUAAUUCGACUAAGCCUAUUGCUGAUUUUACUCAUUAAAUAUAACUUAAUUGUAUGGAAAAUGCGACAAAUAAACUGAUGAAAGAAAGGGAAGAACUGCUUUUAAUCAUGAAAAAGAAUAAGAUAGAAUA
Molecule: long non-coding RNA, 1138 nt
Organism: Scaptodrosophila lebanonensis
Lineage: Eukaryota; Metazoa; Arthropoda; Insecta; Diptera; Drosophilidae
Exons: 3
Source: RefSeq, a predicted model, not a curated record